This 583-nucleotide ribosomal RNA is filed under the name uncultured bacterium. RNAcentral's name for it is "bacterial SSU rRNA". It matches the Rfam family "Bacterial small subunit ribosomal RNA", at positions 8 to 551 of the family's 1533-position model. The record is from RNAcentral.
AGAGUUUGAUCCUGGCUCAGGACGAACGCUGGCGGCGUGCCUAAUACAUGCAAGUCGAGCGAGCUUGCCUAGAUGAUUUUAGUGCUUGCACUAAAUGAAACUAGAUACAAGCGAGCGGCGGACGGGUGAGUAACACGUGGGUAACCUGCCCAAGAGACUGGGAUAACACCUGGAAACAGAUGCUAAUACCGGAUAACAACACUAGACGCAUGUCUAGAGUUUGAAAGAUGGUUCUGCUAUCACUCUUGGAUGGACCUGCGGUGCAUUAGCUAGUUGGUAAGGUAACGGCUUACCAAGGCAAUGAUGCAUAGCCGAGUUGAGAGACUGAUCGGCCACAUUGGGACUGAGACACGGCCCAAACUCCUACGGGAGGCAGCAGUAGGGAAUCUUCCACAAUGGACGAAAGUCUGAUGGAGCAACGCCGCGUGAGUGAAGAAGGGUUUCGGCUCGUAAAGCUCUGUUGGUAGUGAAGAAAGAUAGAGGUAGUAACUGGCCUUUAUUUGACGGUAAUUACUUAGAAAGUCACGGCUAACUACGUGCCAGCAGCCGCGGUAAUACGUAGGUGGCAAGCGUUGUCCGGAUU